ACAUCAAAUCAAAGAUUUUUUGUGACUAAUGAAAAUAACUUUGUUGCAUACUUCAUAGUUUAGACUUUGAUACCUUUUGGUAAGGCUGUUGGAUUUUUCUUUUUCUUCUUAGACUUCUCAGUCAAAGAAACAGAAAGUGCCAAGAAUGUGAAACAGCCUGGAAAUAUUUUCUCCUCCAUCAAGAAACACAACAUGUCCUUUCAAAGCUUAAUUGAGCAGCACAGAGCUAAUUAGCUGUCCGAAGACAUGCCAUUUAAUUCACUACCCAGCAUUAAUUUGUUCUACAGACUGAGCUUAUCUCAUAUAUAAAUGCCUUUGCCCUGUGGCUUUCCAAACAGCUGCAAUAUACAAAAAAGACUGAUAACUCUGUCAUUUAAAUGUUGCUUGCUUCCUUCACUUCUGCAUAAAAUACUGAAUUGCAUGUGAAUUGUAACUGGAAAGUUUUCAUGGUCACAAUGAAAAAAUAAUUUGUUUUUAUUUCCUUUUAGCUGGAAAUGAUGUUAUCACUCUGGGAUUGAAAAGCCACCAUUUGAGGUUUGCACUAGAUUAUAAUUUGCAAUUUGCUAAUCUAAUGUGGAAUUUUGAUAGUAUGUUGAAUGAAUAGUUUCAAAGCUUUUUGAAGAGGAAAAAUUAUACACUUGGUCCUUAAAACAUGUUUGUAGUAAGCUGGUUUUUUUUUCCCUACAAAUUUUUCUUUGAAGAUCCACGUCAAAGAAUUUGGAGAUGUUUAUGUGGGACCCUAGGCUUUCCCCAGGCUCUGACACAUUCUCAAGAUCCAGCCUCCAUCAGAGCUUCAUUUCUGGGAACACUAAAAGCUAAAGGGACAGAGCUGCUGCUUACUUGGGCUGCCAAAGACUGGGAGCAGGGAAGGAGAAUGUGAAAAAGGGGAUGAAUGAGAUAAAAAAGAAGUAUUACAGAAAGGGCUGGAAGAGACAACUGUGUUAAUAGAGUACUUUUGCCAGCAUAAAAGAACUUUUGCUAGUGAAGUGAGGUGCAACUUCCCAAAAUCUAUCCCUAAUCCAUACCAAGUGACUAGGGAUAGGAAAUAUUUAUCUCUUCUAUCAACAUUUUUUUGUGCAAUCCUGCGUCACAAAUGACUUGCUAAAAUGGUCCAUUAUGGUCGGUGACCAAGGAGUGGAUAAAAUCUGCUGCCUGAUUUAUAGGAAGCUAUGGGCACUGUCCUCUCAACCUCAGAUUCAUGCAUUGCAGAUGCAUGCCUGUAUGAGGCUUCUAGGGCAGGCAUCAUUCAUCCAGCAACUGAUCCUCAGCAUAAUCAGGUCCUGAGCUCUGCUUCCUCCGUUGCCUUACCAACCUAAGGUGAAGGUUGUGCUCCUCUCGCUGACCCUGUGCAAGUGAGCAACUGCAUCCCUCUCUCCUGAAAGACAGAAGUGACAAUCCAGUUGUUAGCUGCUCAUUGUGCAAAUGGAAAAGACUAUUUUUAUCUAGCUGAAAGAUAGAGGAUGAAGUGUCACCUUCCUGGGAUGACAGGUGGUAAGACAAACAGUCCAACCACAGACAGUUUUCCUGGGAACAUGAUCUGCUCGUGCAUAUUGAUAUUGGCUUAUUGAGCUGCUGAUCACCUCUUUUCGCUGCAUGGACUGUGGCAGCUCUGAGUGUGAGGCACCGGGUGCGUAGCUGGGAAAGGGCUUUCCUGCUGCUAGUAUAAGUGCUUUGGGGAAGUUGUACACACUAUGCACUUUGUCUUACUGCACAAAAAAGAAAAGUGGUGAUAAAAUGUGAAACAUUUGUCAAAUCCUGAUAUAUUAUUGUUUGUGGGUGAACAGCUUAUGACUGCUUUGCAGGUCAAGUAUUAAGAACAUUCAGCCUUGAUUUUUUUUUUUUAUUUAAUUUACUUUGUGUUUCUGACUAAUUUUUUGUCUUUUAAAUACUUGGAGAAUGAGUUAGAAUUAUUACUAUUUAUAACUAUUUCUAUUUCAGGAAAGUUUGGAUUAUCUGUUUUAUUGCAACUGAAUUAGUUCCUUUUUGUUUCCGAACUGUGUUAUCUACAUAAAUAACUUCACAGCACAUCCUCAGUUGCAGCAGUCCUUCAUUUUGGCAUCAACUUUAAUAUCAUUAUUUAUUCUUAUCUAUUACGUUCAGUGUGAGAUUAAGGAAAGGUUUAUUUUUUUAUUAAGUGGCAAUAGUUACUGCUGAUGGGUGACAAUUUACAACUCUGUUACCACUAAGGAAAAAAACCCACCUUUUGUUUUUGUUA
Molecule: long non-coding RNA, 2215 nt
Organism: Pezoporus occidentalis (night parrot)
Lineage: Eukaryota; Metazoa; Chordata; Aves; Psittaciformes; Psittacidae
Exons: 3
Source: RefSeq, a predicted model, not a curated record